GAUGAACGCUAGCUAUAGGCUUAACACAUGCAAGUCGAGGGGAAACGGCAUUAUGUGCUUGCACAUUUUGGACGUCGACCGGCGCACGGGUGAGUAUCGCGUAUCCAACCUGCCCUUUACUUGGGGAUACCCCGUUGAAAGACGGCCUAAUACCCGAUGUAAUUCAUUGAUGGCAUCAGAUAUGAAUAAAAGAUUUAUCGGUAAAGGAUGGGGAUGCGUCUGAUUAGCUUGUUGGUGAGGUAAAGGCUCACCAAGGCAACGAUCAGUAGGGGUUCUGAGAGGAAGGUCCCCCACAUUGGAACUGAGACACGGUCCAAACUCCUACGGGAGGCAGCAGUGAGGAAUAUUGGUCAAUGGGCGCAAGCCUGAACCAGCCAAGUAGCGUGCAGGAAGACGGCCCUAUGGGUUGUAAACUGCUUUUAUACGAGAAUAAUUUGAUGCACGUGUGCGUUAUUGCAUGUAUCGUAUGAAUAAGGACCGGCUAAUUCCGUGCCAGCAGCCGCGGUAAUACGGAAGGUCCAGGCGUUAUCCGGAUUUAUUGGGUUUAAAGGGAGUGUAGGCGGUUUGUUAAGCGUGUUGUGAAAUUUAGAUGCUCAACAUUUAACUUGCAGCGCGAACUGUCAGACUUGAGUACACGCAACGUAUGCGGAAUUCAUGGUGUAGCGGUGAAAUGCUUAGAUAUCAUGAAGAACUCCGAUUGCGAAGGCAGCAUACGGGAGUGUAACUGACGCUUAAGCUCGAAGGUGCGGGUAUCGAACAGG
This 761-nucleotide ribosomal RNA is filed under the name uncultured Prevotella sp. RNAcentral describes it as "bacterial SSU rRNA". It matches the Rfam family "Bacterial small subunit ribosomal RNA", at positions 28 to 776 of the family's 1533-position model. Lineage: Bacteria; Pseudomonadati; Bacteroidota; Bacteroidia; Bacteroidales; Prevotellaceae. The record is from RNAcentral.